Molecule: long non-coding RNA, 755 nt
Filed under: Callithrix jacchus (white-tufted-ear marmoset)
Lineage: Eukaryota; Metazoa; Chordata; Mammalia; Primates; Cebidae
Description: lncRNA (ENSCJAG00000070794.1)
Source: RNAcentral
AUGACAGAAAUUCAAGGGAUGUUGGGAAGUGAAAUAUCUACAAGACUCACCAAGUAUAUUGAUCUUGAGGUGAGGACUCACCCCUCACUGGGAGAAAUAGUUAGGAAAGCAAUAUGUAAAAACAAAGUCAUGAAUCUGACAAGAAAUGUACUUAAGAAACUGAACAAGGGACCCAGAAUACAGAAGUGAAAAAGCUUCUUUAGACAGCAGUAAGUUAUAAAAGAGAAAAGACCAUGUGAGGACACAGUAAGAAGGAGGCCAUAUGCAAAGCAGAAAGGAAGACCUCACCAGAACCAAAAACCAACCCUGCUGGCACCCUCAUCUUGGACUUCUAGCCUUUCUCAGAACUGUGAGAAAAUAAAUUUCUGGUGUUUCAGUCACUCAGCCUGUGGUCAUUUGUUAUGCAACCCUAGCAGACAAACAGGGACCUAACUUAAGAACUGGUUAAAAAUGAGGCCAGUUAAGAAUUUGAUAUGCUAUGGCUGGGAAGGUUUGAUUUAUUCUAAAUGCAAUGGAAUGGAGCUGGGGAUAUAAAUUUGGGAUUUAUUGGCAGGUGAAAUAUAUUUUAAAAUACACUAAAAUUAAAUUUCCUCAGGACAGAAUGUAGAUAGAAAAGAAUCAAGAUUUUAUGACAAAAAUCCAAGUCACUCCAAUGUUAGAGUUCUCCCAAACAUUUAAAGAAGGCUUACGCUGAUUCUAUACAGCAUCUUCCAAAAAUUAUAAAUUCUUUACAGCAUCUUUCCAACUUAUUUUAU